Molecule: long non-coding RNA, 521 nt
Filed under: Dendronephthya gigantea
Lineage: Eukaryota; Metazoa; Cnidaria; Anthozoa; Malacalcyonacea; Nephtheidae
Description: uncharacterized LOC114521134
Source: RNAcentral
UCUGUUACAAGUUUAAAUUAUGUUUAUUGUGAAGGCGAUUUUAAGAUUUUUUUGGAGAUGAACACACGAGAGCUUAUGAUGUUGUAUAAAGAAGAAAUUAUAAGAGGCGAAUAAAUUGAUGGUUCCGUUACAAACGAUGCAAAGAAAUUCAAGACUUCGAAGGUCCCGAAUAGCUUGAAAGUGAAAAGUCUGCUUCAUUCUAAUAAUUCAGAGACCACCGAAGCGCAUGGCGACGCGAACAGAUUCGACAUCACAAGAGAGACUUGGUGACCUUUGUUGAUUAUGAAGAUCAUGAAUUAAGGCGAUGAUGUUAUUGCAACAGUUGAGCAGGCACCAUACACUCCAACAAACAAGAACAAGGGUGACCAACAAGACAAGAAAACACCACCAAGUGUCAAGUCGAGACGACAUCAAGUCAAUAAACUGUUUAUAGAGUAAGACAUUAUUUUAAACUAAACUGCAUGCUUCAAGAUAUUUAUAUAAUUCAUUACUGUGACUUCAUGUUAAUUCUUAAUAGUAUU